RNAcentral lists this long non-coding RNA (1161 nucleotides) under Macaca fascicularis (crab-eating macaque). RNAcentral's name for it is "lncRNA (ENSMFAG00000057426.1)". The record is from RNAcentral. Lineage: Eukaryota; Metazoa; Chordata; Mammalia; Primates; Cercopithecidae.
ACGGUCUUGUCUGCACCUCCAGAGCCCCCAGGCUUGCUCACUUGGCUCUACUUCUGGGCAGGGUGCCCUGGUAUUGCUGCUGCUGGCACCUGCGUGCCUUGGAGGGGUCUCCAGUGGGACCUCUGAGCACGGCUCUUCCUGUACCUUGAGAGGUGAGCAGAGGGCGUUUGUGGGAGAACUGGAACCUGGGGAGGAAAAACCCCAAGGCAGGCAGAGACUGUCCCUGAGUCUGUCCAGUGACCCACCGAAGCUGAGUGGUGUAGGACACGGAGGCCCGCCCGGGACCUGGGGGAGAGAGGGCCUUAGUCCGGUGAGACCAGCCUGGUGGGCGCCUGGGGGAGAGAGGGCCUUGGUCCGGUGAGACCAGCCUGGUGGGUGCCUGGGGGAGAGAGGGCCUCGGUCCGGUGAGACCAGCCUGGUGGGGCAGAGAGGGCCUCGGUCCGGUGAGACCAGCCUAGUGGGUGCCUGGGGGAGAGAGGGCCUCGGUCCGGUGAGACCAGCCUGGUGGGUGCCUGGGGGAGAGAGGGCCUCGGUCCGGUGAGACCAGCCUGGUGGGGAAGGGAGGGCCUCGGUCCGGUGAGAGCAGCCUGGUGGGGCAGAGAGGGCCUUGGUCCGGUGAGACCAGCCUGGUGGGGAAGGGAGGGCCUCAGUCCGGUGAGACCAGCCUAGUGGGUGCCUGGGGGAGAGAGGGCCUCGGUCCGGUGAGACCAGCCUGGUGGGGAAGGGAGGGCCUCAGUCCGGUGAGGAGACCAACCUGGUGGGUCCAUGCCACUCUCGCCUGCUGUCAGGGCCUGCCCUUCUCUCCGGCCUCCAGCUGCUUUGCCCCAGCCCAGCCUUCACGCGCCUCAGCUGCCUCCCCCUACCCCGAGCUUGAGUCCAGCUGAGCUGCACGUGGCUUUCCCAGUGGAGCAGACUCUGUCUGAUUUCCCGACGGCCGGCACCCCCCAGGGCUUGCUCCCCGCCGUGGAACAGCCCCUUGGGGCCAGCCUAGGGCUCCUGCUGGGGGCAGAGUCCAGGAGCCUCGGGACAACAUGUGGACUCAGGAUGUCCAAGUCUCAAAGGAGAGGAGCCUGGGGAGCUUGGGAUGAGGCUCGUCCGCAGCCUGAAUUUUCUUCCUUUGCCGUCACCUGUUGCCCCUCUGGGAGCCACCGUGGAGAAUGA